Carassius gibelio (silver crucian carp) is the source of this 981-nucleotide long non-coding RNA. RefSeq lists it as uncharacterized. Lineage: Eukaryota; Metazoa; Chordata; Actinopteri; Cypriniformes; Cyprinidae. The record is from RefSeq and is a predicted model, not a curated record. The transcript is spliced from 2 exons.
UAAUAAUUUACGAAGUGUUUUUUUUUAUAUAUAUACAUAUGUGCAUUUCAUAAAUGUAUAUGGUUUUGGAUAAGUUCCAUGUUAAUUAAGUUGAUAUUAUUUUUAUUUUUGUAUUUUUAUAUUUCUUCUGUUUAUCCAGUCAUAUUCACUUGUCCACGUUGGGUGUCCAAUCUAUGCUCUAGAUUAAGGUGAAGGGGGCGGGAAUAAUUGAGGGCAAAGUUGAACGAGGAAGAAUUGGGAGAGCACGAGGGAGAAGAGCGUGCGAUCAUCUGGUGUUAUAUUGUUUCACAAAAUAUAUAGUGUAACUAAUGCUAUAAUGUGUUACAAUAGUUUAUGUAGUUAAGGUGUUGUCGGAAUGAGAACAGAAACUGAUACUACAGAGACGGUUGGCGAGUCGUCAGCAUGAGGAUUCGUGGCAGUUUCAGAUGAGGAUGAUUACAGAUGACUUGUGAGCUAACGUGAGUGCUCGGAAUUCCUUUGGCCUUAAGGAAAUCGCCGCGAUAGUGGAGUUGACGGACAUCUAACCUCGUGAGGUGAAACACGCUCUUCUGAUUGGAUGGUUCAAGGUAUUUUUAUUUUUUUUGUUUGUUGCUCAGUGUUGAGUGAAGCGGUCGUUUGUUUAUUUGUUGACCACAACGUACCCCAGCAUCAAACAGGCCUGCAACGUGAAAAUAACGAACUUUCAUAUUGAUUGAGGUUAAGUGUGAGCUCAUAUUGCCGGCUUAGUAUUUGUUUGAAGAGUUUAUUAAGUUUGAGUAAGAGUUUGAUGACUCAAAUUUGAAGUAUAACAACAGAGGGGAACAAAUAUCCAUUUACAAAAAGAGUGAAUGUGAAAUGUGUACUUGAUUUUAUUGUUUUAUUCAUUUGUGUGAAUUUGUGAAAUUCAUAUUGCUUAUUUAAAUAAUUUUAUUUUACAUUUGGAAAAAAUCCUGAAACGUGAUCAUUUUACCUUUUAUCCAGUAAAUUGUUAUUUACAGUCUA